CUCUCUCGCGUCUUCGCUUCCAAGAUGACCAAGAAAAGAAGGAAUAAUGGCCGUGCCAAAAAGGGCCGCGGCCACGUGCAGCCUAUUCGCUGCACCAACUGUGCCCGAUGCGUGCCCAAGGAUAAGGCCAUUAAGAAGUUCGUUAUUCGGAACAUUGUAGAGGCCGCGGCGGUCAGGGACAUUUCCGAAGCGAGCGUUUUCGAUGGUGAGUGAGCUCCCGGGGCGAAUCGGUAUCUUAAUAUUUAAGAAGUGUAAUUUUUUUGUGGCGCGUAUUCGAUCCCUGGCCGAGGAACUUCCACAUGAGGCCGAAAGCUGUACAUACAUACUUUAAGACCUAAAACCACCUCUCCCCGCCAACCCGUGCGGUGCACAGGCUUUGUCGUAGUAGUGUCCGAGCAAUCUCCUUGUGUUUUUAAGGUUGUCGGUAGAAGAGAAUUGAAUCUUUGCUGCGUUUGCCACUUUGAGCUGUGUCUGGGGAGGGAGCCUUUUUGUGGUAGUGCUCACUGAGUCAUUUAAGAAAGGAAGCAUGUCUACUUAGGUUCACGAGGGUGAUCUUUGGAGCAAUAUGAUGUUGUUUUAAUCGUUUUUCUUUUUAGAGACAGUGAGCUUUUUUAGGCGGGGGCCCUGGACGGUGUUAGGGCUGAUGUGAUUGUUGAAGAAACUAGAUUCUUGGUGGUAUAACAUCUGUGGUGUGAAUUUGAUUCCCAUGAUGACAGGAUGGGUUAGUAAGGGGGUGUUUAUUCGUGAAACUAUGUUUUUAGGUGUCAGAAAGUGAAUAGUAGCUCUUUGGAGUGAAAUCUUGUAGAUAUGCCUAAAUGAGUUUGUUUACUUUUUUGUUUUUGUUUCUUUGCCAUUUCUUGGGCUGCUCCUGCGGUGUAUGGAGGCUAGGGGUCGAAUCAGAGCUGUAGCUGCCAGCCUUCGCCAGAGCCACAGCAACACGGGAUGCAAGCCGCUUCUGCAACCUACACCACAGCUCACGGCAACACCGGAUCGUUAACCCGCUGAGAGGGGGCAGGGAUCGAACCUUCAACCUUAUGGUUCCUAGUCGGAUUCGUUAAUCACUGAGCCACGACGGGAACUCCUGUUUACUCCCCCCCCCCCCCCCCAAAAAUGACCGAACUUGAGAACUUCCCAGGCCAGGGGUUGAACCUGCACCAUAGCAGUGACAAUUCCAGGUCUCUAACCUGCGGGGCCACCAGGGAACUCCUGGGUAUGUUUACUUUUGCCUGAUAGAAUGAACAAGAAAGAACUGCGUGAGGUGGGUGUGCAAUACAUGAUAUCAUACCUCUAAAUUUUCUGUUUCUUAGCCUAUGUGCUUCCCAAGCUGUAUGUGAAACUACAUUAUUGCGUGAGUUGUGCCAUUCACAGCAAGGUAGUCAGGAAUCGUUCUCGUGAAGCCCGGAAGGAUAGAACACCUCCACCCCGAUUUAGACCUGCGGGUGCUGCCCCACGACCUCCACCAAAGCCCAUGUAAGGAACUGAGUUCUUAGAGACUGAAGGAAUUCUAUCCUUUAAAAAGACAAUAAAAUGGAGACUAUACUUAAUAUGGCAUGUUGAGUGUGUGUUGCCAGAUAUAAUGGGGGUUGUGUAUGUUACAGGAACUGUAACUUCACCACAUAUUGAACUCUGGAGUGUCACAUAGUCUUUUUCAUGGAGGCCAGGGUGGUUAUGUAAGUUAAACCUCAACUCCUGUGUUUCUCUUACAUUUCUGUCUUUGACCUCCCCAAUUUGCAUAGCUAUGGGGGAGAGGAGUUAAAGCAUCUGUAUUAGGUUAAUUCAACCUGGCAUGUUGGCGUAAACUGGUGUUCUAAGAACAGGAUAAGGAGUUUUGUGAGGAACUCAUCAGGAAGCAAUUUAGACUGAUCUGGGUGUGAGUAUCUUUAGUGGGGGACACAAGGCUUUAAUGGAAGUUUAUGGCCUGAAUAGCUUCAUGGGAUCUGAUUCCAGAUCCUUAACUUCGUUAAUUCACCUCUUUGCCUUGAAUUGGUUUGCUGGUUAGCCAGUUCUCACCCAACCUUCAUCUUUCUGCAGUGAUUUUCUCUAUCAAGUAAAAAAGCCCAGGACACCAGGUAUUCUAGAAACUUGGGGGGGGUCCCACAAGAAGAUAUUUCCCCCACAAUGUGAGGAAGGGUUGUACCUAAUGUGACCUUUACAGCAAUGGUUCAUUUGUCCCAGAAUUCAGAAAUUAGAAAGUCGCCAGCUAAGGAUAUGCAGUUGAUCCUUGAACAGUGUGGGUUUAACAGUGGCGUUGUUAUGGUUUUCAACAGUUAGUUGAACUGUCAGAUGUGAAAGCAGGGAUGUAAACGGCCAGCUCUAAAGUUAGUUACAUAAGGAUUUUUUUGGUUAAGGGCCAAACCCAUGGCACAUGGAAGUUCCCAGGCUAGGGGUCACAUCAGAGCUGCAGCUGCCGGCCUGCAUCACAGCCACAGAAACACAGGAUCCAGGCCAAAUCUGACCUACACCACAGCUCACAGCAGUGCUGGAUCCCUGACCCACUGAUUGAGGCCAGGGAUCAAACCCACAUCUUUGUGGAUCCUGAGCCAAGACGGGAACUCCCAUAGGAAUUUUUGACUAGGUAGUGCCCCCUAACCCAUGCCUUGUUUGAGGAGCAACUGUAUGUAUGAAAAAUUUUUGGGGGAAUGGAUUGAAAUACACAUUUGCCGGGGAACAUGUUUUCGCAUGUGUCUAUAUUCAAAGGAAUAUGAUAGCAAAGAAGGGGUGGAGUAUUUCAGCUCAUGGGGUAGUCCUUUUAAUUGGGGAACCCUUUAUGAAAUCCCAGUUGGAAACUGUUGACCUCGACUUGCCUUCGGUCUGUGUACCAACAUGUGCUGGAACAGCUGUGGCAAGUCCUGAAUUUGUUAAAACACUGAAUGUAGGCAGGACAGUCUAUCCUUUGGAGAGACCUACAAUGUCAGCUCUUUCAUUCCUCUGUAAUGAUCCCUUUACACCAGGAAUAAAACACUGGAUAGUAGAAAAUCAGAUGCAAGGUGAAAAUGCUACCAAACCUAAUGGUUCCAAAUCCUACCUUGCUCAGUAAAACCAGAUUCAGGUAAGUCCAGGACUGUGUAAUUACUGUGAGAGUUCCCUUGAGAUAUUUAUAGACACAGCUUAUCCUUUUUUCGGGAUAGGCCUUAACUGAGAUGUAAAUUCACGUGUUCUCCCAUGAAUUUAAAAUUUGAUUCAUGAGUUUUUUUUUUUUCUCUUUUGGCGAUAGCUCUGGCAACACUAGAUCUUUAACCCACUGCAGGCCAGGGCUUAAACCCAUGUCUCAGCAGUGAUCCCAGCCAAAGAGGGCUUUCCAUGUGCUUCAGGCUCAAAUAGCCCCAGUCUACCACCAGGUGUAAGUCAGAUCUGGUAGGCAACCAGGAUAUCCAGUGUCCGCCUAGGUAGGAAUCCAUCACUUAUCACAGAAAAGAAAACCAUAUAUGUAGUCAGACAUGGCCUGCAGUUUAGUUUGAGGUCUCAGUAUAUUUGGACCACAAGAUCAACAGCUUGCUUUGCUUAAGUGUGGACUGAGGUUCUAGUAGUUGGUCACAAAGAAGACUGUAGACCUUUGAGCCUUUGCCUCCCUCCCACCCCCAGCUUGUUUUAAUGGAGUAUUGGGUAGGGGGGAGAUAAUUGCUGUCUCAGCACCUCCCUAAUAUAUUCUCUAGACUUGAUAUAUUUUCUAGGCUUGAUGCGUGAGGAGUGUUUAAACCAGUUAGAAGCCUCUGGACUCUUCCACCUAUUGAUCCAUGUUCACCUGUGAGGUUAUUGGAUUUCAAGUCAAUUCCCCGUGGUAACUAGAAUUUAUUAAGGGUCCUGGAACACAUUUUCCUUCAAACUGAAUUCCUAAAUUUUUUAUUUUUCUUCGGCUACCUCUCCAUACAAGGAAAAAGCUACUAUCACACUACUUUUUAAGUUUACACAUUUAGUGUGUUCCUUCAGUAACUAUCAGAUAUAGAGUGUUGCUUUCAUAUGCACUAACUAGCUUGUCAGAAGAGACUGAAGAGUAGAUGAAAAAAAUGGGCUGGAAUCUAUAUUCAAUUACUUGUUCAGUAAGUAGAAAUUAUGUAUGUACUUGGCACUUUAUUUCUGACUACAAGUACCCUAUUAAAACAUGUCUGUGGAGUUCCCUAGCAACUCAGCAGGUUAAGGAUCUGGCACUGCUGUGGUUCAGGUUGCUGAUGUGGUGCAGGUUUGCUCCCUGCCCUGGGGACUUAAAUGUGCUGCAGACAAGGCCAAAAUAACAUUGAGGUGAUUUUGUUCCUUUUAAUUGCUGAAUAACAUUCCAUUGUGUAAUAUGUACCACAUCUUCCUGCUCCACUCCAUGUCGAUGAGACGCCAACAUCGGAUGCUUUCACUGACAUGGAGUUUGGGGGGUGUGGACACAGUGAACUUUGCAGAGCAGAUGCUGACUCACAGACAUUGAAAAACUUAUGGUCUCCAGAGGAGACAGUUGGGGGUGGGGGAAUGUGCAUGGGUUGUGGGAUGGAAAUCCUGUGAAAUUGGAUUUCAAUGAUCGUUAUACAACUACAGAUGUGAUUAAAAAAAAACAAAAA
RNAcentral lists this long non-coding RNA (4541 nucleotides) under Sus scrofa (pig). RNAcentral's name for it is "lncRNA (ENSSSCG00045036682.1)". The record is from RNAcentral. Lineage: Eukaryota; Metazoa; Chordata; Mammalia; Artiodactyla; Suidae.